UGACACCGGCCUCAAAGACGUCAAGGGACCUGUGCCUCACACCAUUCCCACGUGGCAGGAUGGGCCCUGGCAUCCCAGCCGAGUGGAGCUACUUUAAGGACCCCUGAAGAACUUGGAUCAGGAACGUUUUCUUUACGUGCGAGGACCGCGGUGUCAAGCGGCACACACUCACAAGACCUUCGCACGCCCAGAGAACUUCAACAACUGGGCAACAGAGAGGUUUCUGCUAAAACCACCCGCAGGACCAGAGAGGGCGGACUCGUCGCGAGUGCCCGACCCAGAGGCCAGCUCGGCCCUGCCCACGGUGACAGCCAGACGGGCCACUCCCCGCUGCGUGCCCCUCGGCGACUCUGGGGAGGUGUUUCCUCUCAUCUUCUGUUGCGGGUUGGCGUGUUUAUGACCUGACCCCUGGUGCCCGCGAAUGUGACAUUAUCUGGACACAGGGUCCCCGCCAACCAGCAGGUCGUGCUGGAGUGGGGUGGGCUCCUCAUCCAACCAAUGGUGUCCUUGUAAGAGAAAACGGGGACACAGAGACCCACACGGGGAGAACAUCCCUGGGGAGGCAGAGCCCGGGGCGCCCACCACCCGCUCGGAGAGCGGUAGGGGACAGGUUCUCCCUCGGGACCAUCCAACCUGCCAGCACCUGGAUUUCAGACUUCUGGCCUCCAGAGCCUCGAGACAGUACAUUCCUGUCACUUUAAGCUACCCGGUUUGUGGUACUUAGCUACCGCAGCCCUGGGACAAAAAUACAUCUUUCUCAGCUACC
Molecule: non-coding RNA, 766 nt
Organism: Microcebus murinus (gray mouse lemur)
Lineage: Eukaryota; Metazoa; Chordata; Mammalia; Primates; Cheirogaleidae
Source: RefSeq, a predicted model, not a curated record